UCCAACCAUUAAAGAGCCAUUUAUGUCACCGUCGAGCUGGCUGGUGUGGCAUUCUGCCCGUUUCGAGAUCCCCCUGGCUCAUCCAGCAAUAACGACAGUUCUGAAAGGCGGUGGAAGCUGAUCUCUGUAUCAUCACCCCUGAAAUAUUCGUCCAUCUGAAGGCGUAGCAUCCCCACCGGGCCAUCAGCAUUGCAUCAUCCAUCAGAAAUGCCUCUGGCACCACAGUAAAGCUGGGCUCUACGACUUGAAACCCUGUGCCGGAUUCCCCCAUCAGACUAUGUAAUCUGUGGCGUAAUGAUGGACAGAAUUGGUUCUCACCUUUCUUUGUGGGCUCAGGCAUGUUGAGCCGUUCUCCGGUGGACCGGGCACCAGUCGAAGGGGUUCAGAGGU
This is a long non-coding RNA of Labeo rohita (rohu), 390 nucleotides long. RefSeq lists it as uncharacterized. NCBI's taxonomy places the organism in Eukaryota, Metazoa, Chordata, Actinopteri, Cypriniformes, Cyprinidae. The record is from RefSeq and is a predicted model, not a curated record. The transcript has 3 exons.